AAGAGAGUUUGAUUCUGGCUCAGGAUGAACGCUGGCGGCGUGGAUAAGGCAUGCAAGUCAAGGGGGUUUUGGGAGCAAUUUCAAAACAACCGGCGAACGAGUUAGUAACACCUUGGUACAUAACCUAAAGUCGGGCACAACCCCGCGAAAGCGGAGCUAAUUCCCGAUGUUGAAGCAAUUCCAAAGGAGCAAUCCGCUUUGGGAGUGGCCUAGGUCCUAUCAGCUUGUUGGCGGGGUAAAAGCCCACCAAGGCUAUGACGGGUAGGGGGCGUGAGAGCGCGUUCCUCAACGACGACACUGAGAUACGGGUCGUACACCUACGGGUGGCAGCAGUCAAGAACAUUCGACAAUGGGCGAAAGCCUGAUCGAGCGACGCCGCGUGCAGGAAGAAGUCCUUCGGGAUGUAAACUGCUUUUGCGUAGGAAAAAUUUUGAUUGUACUACAAGAAUAAGGGGUUGCUAACCUCGUGCCAGCAGCAGCGGUAAUACGAGGACCCCGAGCGUUAUCCGGAAUUACUGGGCAUAAAGAGCGAGUAGCCGGUUUUGUUAGUCUGAUGUUAAAUUCCGAGGCUUAACUUCGGAGCCGCAUCGGAAACGGCAAGAGUCCAGCUCAAAGUUAUUUUCUAAGACGAAAUUGAAAUAUUUGAGACGAAAUAAAGAAAAAAUUUUAAGGCAUAGCCUAGCAGGUAAGAGGUAAGCGGAACGUGCGGUGUAGGGGUGAAAUCCAUUGAUAUCGCACGGAACACCAAAAGCGAAGGCAGCUUACUGGUGCUUUGCUGACGGUCAAUCGCGAAAGCGUGGGCAUAAAAAAGGAUUAGAUACCCUUGUAUUCCACGCCCUAAACUAUGCUGACUAGCUAUUGGGAGCAUCGACCCUUCCAGUGGCGUAGCUAAUGCGUUAAGUCAGCCGCCUGGGAAGUACGAGCGCAAGCUUAAAACUUAAAGAAAUAGGCGGGAAUUCGCACAAGCGGUGGAUCAUGUGGUUUAAUUCGACACUGAGCGAAGAACCUCACCAAGGCUUGAAAUCCUAGUGUAAGCUCCGGGAAACCGGGGCCCCCGCAAGGCUCUAGGACAGGUGCUGCACGGCUAUACGGUCGUCAGCUCGUCUCGUGAGAGGUUUCCUUAAGUGGAUUAACGAGCGCAACCCCUAUCGUCUGUUAUAUUUGUCAGGCGAGACUGCUUUCGUAAGGAAGAGGAAGGUGGGGAUGACGUCAAGUCAGCGUGGCCCUCUGAUGUCUUGGGCUACACACAUGAUACAAUGGAUGUUACAAUGGGUUGCCAACCCGCGAGGGGGAGCUAAUCCCAUCAAAGGCAUCCUCAGUUCGGAUAGGAGGCUGAAACUUGCCUCCUUGAAGCCGGAAUCGCUAGUAAUCGCAGAUCAGAACGCUGCGGUGAAUACGUUCUCGAAUUUUGCACUCACAAUAAAAGCGCUCGGCAGGGCCCGUCAAGUCAAGGGAGCUGGGAAUACCUGAAGAUCCGUAUUUUUAUAUGGAGACACGGUAGGCUCAGUGACAAGGACUAAGUCGUAACAAGGCAAGGGUAGCGGAAGCUGCUCUUGGAUCACCUCCUU
Molecule: ribosomal RNA, 1568 nt
Filed under: Candidatus Yanofskybacteria bacterium GW2011_GWA2_41_22
Lineage: Bacteria; Candidatus Yanofskyibacteriota
Description: bacterial SSU rRNA
Rfam family: Bacterial small subunit ribosomal RNA
Source: RNAcentral